ACAUCCCGGAGACCCUUAGGAAACUAGGGGGUGCUUCCAUCUGGAAGAAUCUGGAGACAGGUGCUGCAUGGCUGUCGUCAGCUCGUGUCGUGAGAUGUUGGGUUAAGUCCCGCAACGAGCGCAACCCUUGCCUUUAGUUGCCAGCAGUUCGGCUGGGCACUCUAAAGGGACUGCCGGUGUUAAACCGGAGGAAGGUGGGGAUGACGUCAAGUCCUCAUGGCCUUUAUGACCAGGGCUACACACGUACUACAAUGGCCGAUACAAAGGGCAGCGACACUGCGAGGUGAAGCCAAUCCCGUAAAAUCGGUCUCAGUCCGGAUUGGAGUCUGCAACUCGACUCCAUGAAGUUGGAAUCGCUAGUAAUCGUGGAUCAGCAUGCCACGGUGAAUACGUUCCCGGGCCUC
This 404-nucleotide ribosomal RNA is filed under the name uncultured Desulfobulbus sp. RNAcentral's name for it is "bacterial SSU rRNA". It matches the Rfam family "Bacterial small subunit ribosomal RNA", at positions 984 to 1381 of the family's 1533-position model. Lineage: Bacteria; Pseudomonadati; Thermodesulfobacteriota; Desulfobulbia; Desulfobulbales; Desulfobulbaceae. The record is from RNAcentral.